Molecule: unclassified non-coding RNA, 777 nt
Filed under: Arabidopsis thaliana (thale cress)
Lineage: Eukaryota; Viridiplantae; Streptophyta; Magnoliopsida; Brassicales; Brassicaceae
Description: 3' external transcribed spacer
Source: RNAcentral
CCCUCCCAAAUCACUCCAAAAAAAACAAUCCCCAAUUCUACACAAGUGUUUCUACACUAACAAAGCAACAGCUCCUUAACGAAUUCCCAACUUUACACGAGCUCGUCUCUCGAGGUUAAAUGUUAUUACUUGGUAAGAUUCCGGACCUCGCCAAGUGUUUUGAAAACCGCAACGCUCGCAAAGGUGGAUAGUGAGAAUAAUAAGUGAAGAGACAGACUUGUCCAAAACGCCCACCACGAAGGUGCAUAGUGGAGAAGAGUAAGUCAAGAGAUAGACUUGUCCAAAAAGAAACGGAAGAGAAAGCGUGGGGAGACGCUCACGAAGGUGCAUAGGAGAAGAGUAAGUCAAGAGACAGACUUGUUCGAAAAGAAACAGAAGAGAAUGCUUGGGGUUACACUCACGAAGGUGCAUAGUGAGAAGAGUAAGUCAAGAGACAGACUUGUUCGAAAAGAAACAAAAGAGAAUGCUUGGGGAGAUAGAGUGUGAGAUAGUUCUCUAAGCUAAGAAAGUUGUAAAAGCUAAGAACUAGCAUCAAAUGAUGGAUGAAACACAAGUAGUUGUUGAGAAGUCAAACACUUGGUGAUAUGAACACAAACGUUCAAUAUGACAAACCCAUGCCAAGUAAAGAGAAAAUGAAAACUGGUGAUUGUUGCGGAAAUCGUCCAGGAUUCCUCGACCAGGACUUGAAAUCGUCGAGGGAAAAAUCGGUUCCGAGGAAUCGUCGAUCCGGACUUGGAAUCGUCGAGAAAAGUUUACCGGGUCCGAGGAUUUGUCGAC